RNAcentral lists this ribosomal RNA (496 nucleotides) under uncultured bacterium. Its description in RNAcentral is "partial 16S ribosomal RNA". It matches the Rfam family "Bacterial small subunit ribosomal RNA", at positions 28 to 507 of the family's 1533-position model. The record is from RNAcentral.
GAUGAACGCUGGCGGCGUGCCUAAUACAUGCGAGUCGAGCGAACGGACGCGACGCUUGCUUCUCUGAUGUUAGCGGCGGACGGGUGAGUCACACGUGGCUAACCUACCUCUCAGACUGGGAUCCUUCGGGCUACCGUAGCUAAUACCGGAUAAUAUUUUGAACAGCAUGGUUCAUAAGUGAAAGUCGGUCUUGUUGUUACUUAUAGAUGGUUUCGCGCUGCAUUAGCUAGUUGGUAAGGUAACGGCUUACACAGGCAACGAUGCAUAGCCGACCGGAGAGGGGGAUCGGCCGCACUGGAGCGGAGCCACGGUCCAGACUCCUACGAGAGGCAGCAGUAGGGAAUCGGACGCAAUGGGCGAAAGCCUGACGGAGCAACGCCGCGUGAGUGAUGGAGGUCUUCGGAUCGGAAAACUCUGUUAUUGGGGAAAAACAUAUUUGUAAGUAACUGUGCACAACUUGACGGUACCUAAUCAGAAAGCCACGGCUAACUACGUG